GGGCGUUUAGCGCAGUGGUAGCGCGUAUGCUUUGCAGUUCCUGAAGGAAUGAAUAUUUGUAUAAGGUCCAGGGUUCAAUCCCCUGAACGUCCA
Non-coding RNA from Desarmillaria ectypa, 93 nucleotides. NCBI's taxonomy places the organism in Eukaryota, Fungi, Basidiomycota, Agaricomycetes, Agaricales, Physalacriaceae. The record is from the annotation of a GenBank genome assembly.